This 396-nucleotide ribosomal RNA is filed under the name uncultured bacterium. Its description in RNAcentral is "partial 16S ribosomal RNA". It matches the Rfam family "Bacterial small subunit ribosomal RNA", at positions 523 to 918 of the family's 1533-position model. The record is from RNAcentral.
AUACGUAGGGAGCGAGCGUUGUCCGGAAUUACUGGGUGUAAAGGGAGCGUAGGCGGGAGUGCAAGUCAGAUGUGAAAUACAUGGGCUCAACCCAUGGGCUGCAUUUGAAACUGCAUUUCUUGUGUGAAGUAGAGGUAAGCGGAAUUCCUUGUGUAGCGGUGAAAUGCGUAGAUAUCAGGAGGAACACCGGUGGCGAAGGCGGCUUACUGGGCUUUUACUGACGCUGAGGCUCGAAAGCGUGGGGAGCAAACAGGAUUAGAUACCCUGGUAGUCCACGCUGUAAACGAUGAUUACUAGGUGUGGGGGGACUGACCCCUUCCGUGCCGCAGUUAACACAAUAAGGAAUCCACCUGGGGAGUACGGCCGCAAGGUUGAGGCUCAAAUGAAUUGACGGGG